GACUGAACAAAUGGUGAGAUUUGAUGCCAAAUGGAGUAGGAAAAAACUGCAACCCCAGCCGUCCCCAAAAGGGCGAACAUCUUAAAUCCAUAAGUCAUGCCAACUUUGAAGUUGUCAUCUCCAGGUUUUAUUCAACGUUUGAAUCAUGCUCAAACUUGCAGACUUGACUUAGAGCUUAGAUGCUUCAUCUCCAAAGGAAGCUGGCCGUGGAGUAUAACAGGAAAUCUAGUAAGCAAUCUGGAGUUUUCCUCUAGAAAGUGCUGUGGUCUCAAAGUACAGUCCUGGUAUCUGGACACAACGCCACAAAGGGAGGAAGAGAAUCACAUCACAGAAAAGUCAUGAAAUGAUUGAAAUGUUCUUUUCUGUUCUCCCAAAGCAUCAUUAAAUGUAUGUUGAACCUCAUCAUAUAAUCUGAUUAACACGUGUGCUUGAGAUGAUCCAUUAUAAUGAUGACAAUGGGAAUUUCCAAAGAACACUUAUUCUGUGCCACGAACGGUGCUAGCCACUUGCCAUGAAUCAUUUCCUUUAAUCUUCUCAGGAAUUUGGUUGAGAACAUUGAGACGCUGAUUUUAAGUGACUUUUCUAAGGCCAUGUGCAUAAUGCAUAGGUUUGAGUUCCAUGUGUCUUCGACUGCAGAUCCAUGCUGGUCCACGCCUCCUAGCUCUCAAACAGCAGUGAUGUAUCAUAAGAAAAGGACCAGGAGAUGAAGGGGGUGGGAACUGGCAUCUGCCCAGUACUUGGUCUGUAUCAGGUACAUCACAUGUUUUCGCAUGCUCAGCUCUACAUAAUUAAUAAGUAGGUGAGCUAAGAUUGAACACCAGAUGGAUCUGCUUUCAUAGUUCACUCAUGUUCCCUCAACUGGACUUGGUGCCUGAUUACUUUAUGUGAGUUAAAAAAAAAUUAAAACAGGUAUGAAAGUUAGAUUCAGGCACCACUUAACCCCAAAGCUAACUAAAAAUGAUACUGGGAAUUAAACAUAAGACACUGGUACCCUGAUUACCUAUCUGCUGCAUAACAAGUUACCCCAAAGUGUGGCGGCUUUAAUACAACAAUUUAUUAUUAUUAUCACAAUUCUGUGGAAUGAAAAAUCAGGUGGAACACAGUAGAAAAGCGUGCUUUUCUAAAUAAAUUUAUUUAUUUAAUUAAGUUUUAACGGACACAUAGUAACUGUA
This 1172-nucleotide long non-coding RNA is filed under the name Callithrix jacchus (white-tufted-ear marmoset). RNAcentral describes it as "lncRNA (ENSCJAG00000071313.1)". Lineage: Eukaryota; Metazoa; Chordata; Mammalia; Primates; Cebidae. The record is from RNAcentral.